Molecule: long non-coding RNA, 771 nt
Organism: Scleropages formosus (Asian bonytongue)
Lineage: Eukaryota; Metazoa; Chordata; Actinopteri; Osteoglossiformes; Osteoglossidae
Exons: 2
Source: RefSeq, a predicted model, not a curated record
UUCCGCUGCACACGCGAAUCCCGCCAACGUCAAUAAAUGUACUGCCGAAAGCUCCAGAAGGCCGAGGCUGCGGGGUGUCCGCUUCGAACAACUGACAACCGCAGGAGAACCGAACACUCCUCCAGUGCGUGCGACAGCGCGCGAGUGACGCUCCCGGGUCUCUGAUUGGCCAGGAUCUCAUGCACGCAAGGGCUUUGUCCAAUCGCGAAAGGGGGAAGACGUCACACCAUUCACCCGAUUAUGCCGAGGACUCCUCUGGAGACGGUCAAGUAACAGCUGCUUUGCCCCUUCACAUGAGUGUCAGAGGACAAGCACAGGUGGAACAGCAUCCUGAAAAACAGCAAAGGGAAAGACACCACCAGCCUGGACAAGGAAGCUCAACUAAGGAGCUCACAUGGACAAUCACAACCACACACCAAGGCAUAAGCGAAGAACCAGAUCUGAAAUCACAUUCUGCUAGAGAAAGGAAGAGGGAGAGAAAGAGAGAGAGAGAAACAUGAACAAAGUGGUAAAUUAAAGCCUAAAUAAAAAUGGAAACCUUCACACUUUAUCUGAGCGGGAAAAAAAUCUGCAACAAGAGUCAUACUACUUAGAAAGUGUGCUGUUGACAUCAGUGAAAAGUGUUAACUGCUGCUUAUGAUAGAGGCCAUGACAAGGCUUGGUGAAAACAAGUUGUUUUACCACUAAGCAUAUCUACAUAGCACAAAAUCAGUGUGAGCCAAAUGUACAGCUGAUCAGAGUGAAGAAAGGGAGGGGAAAAAAACAAAAAAA